UUGCCGGAGGUGCCCUGGAGGAUCGCGAUGUUCCCGCCGUCGGGCAGGGCCUUGGCCAUGUCCUGCGCGGCGAUCUUCGCCUGGCCGGCAAA
This 92-nucleotide transfer RNA is filed under the name Luteimicrobium album. RNAcentral describes it as "tRNA-Gly". The record is from RNAcentral. Lineage: Bacteria; Bacillati; Actinomycetota; Actinomycetes; Micrococcales.